This 406-nucleotide ribosomal RNA is filed under the name uncultured bacterium. RNAcentral describes it as "partial 16S ribosomal RNA". It matches the Rfam family "Bacterial small subunit ribosomal RNA", at positions 29 to 526 of the family's 1533-position model. The record is from RNAcentral.
AUUGAACGCUGGCGGCAGGCCUAACACAUGCAAGUCGAGCGAGUGGCGGACGGGUGAGUAAUGUCUGGGAAACUGACGGAUGGAGGGGGAUAACUACUGGAAACGGUAGCUAAUACCGCAUACAAACGGAUGUGACCCGAUGGGAUUAGCUAGUAGGUGGGGUAACGGCUCACCCAGGCGACGAUCCCUAGCGGGUCUGAGAGGAUGACCAGCCACACUGGAACUGAGAAACGGUCCAGACUCCUACGGGAGGCAGCAGUGGGGAAUAUUGCACAAUGGGCGGAAGCCUGAUGCAGGCAUGCCGCGUGUAUGAAGAAGGCCUUCGGGUUGUAAAGUACUUUCAGCGGGGAGGCGUUACCCGCAGAAGAAGCACCGGCUAACUCCGUGCCAGCAGCCGCGGUAAUUC